UACGUAGGGUGCAAGCGCUGUCCGGAUUUAUUGGGCGUAAAGCGUCCGCAGGCGGAAGAUCAAGUCUCCUUUUAAACACUCCGGCUUAACUGGAGAGAUGGAGGGGAUACUGAUUUUCUAGAGGGUGGGAGAGGGUACUGGAACUUAUGGUGUAGGGGUGAAAUCCGUUGAUAUCAUAAGGAACGCCAAGGGCGAAGGCAGGUACCUGGAACACUCCUGACGCUCAGGGACGAAAGCUAGGGGAGCAAAUGGGAUUAGAUACCCGCGUA
Molecule: ribosomal RNA, 269 nt
Filed under: uncultured prokaryote
Description: partial 16S ribosomal RNA
Rfam family: Bacterial small subunit ribosomal RNA
Source: RNAcentral